RNAcentral lists this ribosomal RNA (253 nucleotides) under uncultured bacterium. RNAcentral describes it as "partial 16S ribosomal RNA". It matches the Rfam family "Bacterial small subunit ribosomal RNA", at positions 524 to 776 of the family's 1533-position model. The record is from RNAcentral.
GACGAAGGGGGCUAGCGUUGUUCGGAAUUACUGGGCGUAAAGCGCUCGUAGGCGGUCUUUCAAGUCAGGAGUGAAAGCCCCGGGCUCAACCCGGGAAUAGCUCUUGAUACUGUUGGACUUGAGUCCGGGAGAGGAUAGUGGAAUUCCCAGUGUAGAGGUGAAAUUCGUAGAUAUUGGGAAGAACACCAGUGGCGAAGGCGGCUAUCUGGACCGGUACUGACGCUGAGGCGCGAAAGCGUGGGGAGCAAACAGG